This 481-nucleotide ribosomal RNA is filed under the name uncultured bacterium. RNAcentral's name for it is "partial 16S ribosomal RNA". It matches the Rfam family "Bacterial small subunit ribosomal RNA", at positions 28 to 506 of the family's 1533-position model. The record is from RNAcentral.
GAUGAACGCUAGCGGCAGGCCUAAUACAUGCAAGUCGGACGGGAUUCAGGAGCUUGCUUCUGAUGAGAGUGGCGCACGGGUGCGUAACACGUAUGUAACCUACCUUUAUCAGGGGGAUAGCCUCUCGAAAGAGAGAUUAAGCCCGCAUAAAAUCACAGCACAGCAUUGUGUAAUGAUCAAAUAUUUAUAGGAUAAAGAUGGGCAUGCGGAACAUUAGCUAGAUGGCGGGGUAACGGCCCACCAUGGCGACGAUGUUUAGGGGAUCUGAGAGGAUGGCCCCCAACACUGGUACUGGGAAACGAACAAGACUCCAACGGGAGGCGGCAGUAAGGAAUAUUGGCCAAUGGGCGGAGGCCUGAACCGGCCAUGCCGCGUGCAGGAGGCCGGCCUUCGGGGUUGUAACUUGCUUUUAUAGGGGAAUAAACCCAGUUACGUGUAUCCGGCUGAAGGUACUUUAAGAAUAAGGACCGGCUAACUCCGU